ACAACGUGGAUACACCCUGGAGGUCACUCUCCCUGGGCUCUGUCCAGGUGGCAUAGGGGAGCAUAGGACUUUGCCCCAUGAUGUACAGUCCCUUACUACGACGUUGGAGAUGAAGCUGGGCCUGAGUCUGCACCUGCAUAUUCCUACGACUUUCCAGAGUCUUGUAGACAAUGACUGGGGAGACCAACCAUACAGGAAACAGCC
Molecule: small nucleolar RNA, 204 nt
Organism: Otolemur garnettii (small-eared galago)
Lineage: Eukaryota; Metazoa; Chordata; Mammalia; Primates; Galagidae
Gene: SNORA73
Rfam family: Small nucleolar RNA SNORA73 family
About the family: U17 (SNORA73A and SNORA73B) also known as E1 belongs to the H/ACA class of small nucleolar RNAs (snoRNAs). Vertebrate U17 is intron-encoded and ranges in length from 200-230 nucleotides, longer than most snoRNAs.
Source: Ensembl